This 656-nucleotide ribosomal RNA is filed under the name uncultured bacterium. RNAcentral describes it as "bacterial SSU rRNA". The stretch from base 1 to 546 matches the Rfam family "Bacterial small subunit ribosomal RNA", at positions 338 to 873 of the family's 1533-position model. The record is from RNAcentral.
CCUACGGGAGGCAGCAGUAGGGAAUCUUCCACAAUGGGCGAAAGCCUGAUGGAGCAACGCCGCGUGAGUGAUGAAGGCCUUCGGGUUGUAAAACUCUGUCAUUCGGGACGAACCGGAGUCUGAGGAAAUGCAGACUCUCUGACGGUACCGGAGGAGGAAGCCCCGGCUAACUACGUGCCAGUAGCCGCGGUAAUACGUAGGGGGCAAGCGUUGUCCGGAUUCACUGGGCGUAAAGCGCGCGCAGGCGGUGAUGUAAGUCUGAGGUGAAAACCCGAAGCUCAACUUCGGGACUGCCUUGGAUACUGCGUCACUUGAGGAUAGGAGAGGCAAGGGGAAUUCCACGUGUAGCGGUGAAAUGCGUAGAGAUGUGGAGGAACACCUGUGGCGAAGGCGCCUUGCUGGCCUAUUUCUGACGCUGAGGCGCGAAAGCGUGGGGAGCAAACAGGAUUAGAUACCCUGGUAGUCCACGCUGUAAACGAUGAGUGCUAGGUGUAGGUGGGCUCAUACCCAUCUGUGCCGAAGCUAAACGCAUUAAGCAACUCCGCCUUGGGGGAGGUACGGUUCGGCGAAGACGNGAAACGUUAAAAUUAAGUUAAGUUAGUUACGGCGUUGAGACGUUGCCGAACGGACGACCGACCGAAGGGGAAGGUAAGGAG